AGCUCCAAUAGCGUAUAUUAAAGUUGUUGCAGUUAAAAAGCUCGUAGUUGGAUUUGGGACUGGAGUCGUUCGGUCGGCCGCAAGGUCUGUUACUGAACGGCUCUGUCAUCACAUUCCCAGAGACCUGCCGUGUACUUAACUGUGUGCGGUACGGGAUUUGGGACGUUUACUUUGAAAAAAUUAGAGUGCUCAAAGCAGGCUUUAGCCUGAAUUCUGUUGCAUGGAAUAAUAAAAUAGGACUUCGGUACUAUUUUGUUGGUUUUCUGUACAGAAGUAAUGAUUAAAAGGGACAGACGGGGGCAUUCGUAUUUCCGGGGGAGGGGUGAAAUCCGUAGAUCCUGGAAAGACGACCAACUGCGAAAGCAUUUGCCAAGAAUGUUUUCAUUAAUCAAGAACGAAA
Molecule: ribosomal RNA, 400 nt
Filed under: phytoplankton environmental sample
Lineage: Eukaryota
Description: partial small subunit ribosomal RNA
Rfam family: Eukaryotic small subunit ribosomal RNA
Source: RNAcentral